AUAAUAUGGAAAUAAUAAUACCUUUUCAGAUGACUAUGAAGUAAUUCAAAUUAAUGGGAAGAAGGUUUUACUAUAUCAAAACUACACGUUUUCCAAACAAGGAUUUUCAUGGCAGAAUCAGUAUUGUUCACAAAAGAAUCGAAAGAAUUGCAAAGCCAAGCUAAGGUUAAGCGAAAAUGGAAUACUGAUAUACGCCAACGUGGAUCAUAACCAUCCGCCCCCUCGUUUGUUCGAGAUUUCUCAAGGAAUUUACUGCAAAACAUAAGUAUAAAAGGAAAACCACUGAUCCUUUACCAAAGGCAUACAUUUUCGAAGCAAAACUCGUCAGCUCGCAGGAGGUACUGUUCUAAGAGAAUAAGUCGAGGAUGUGGAGCGAAGCUUAUUCUGAUGGAUGAUGGUCCAGUUCUCACAUGCCCUCACAACCAUCCGCCCCCGAAUAUUGUGCAAUCAUCUGAUGGCUUCUACCAUAAAUUAUAGAGAUUUUAUUUACGUAUCAAGGA
This is a long non-coding RNA of Helicoverpa armigera (cotton bollworm), 500 nucleotides long. RefSeq lists it as uncharacterized. The transcript has 2 exons. NCBI's taxonomy places the organism in Eukaryota, Metazoa, Arthropoda, Insecta, Lepidoptera, Noctuidae. The record is from RefSeq and is a predicted model, not a curated record.